GAAGUGCGAUAACUCGGGUGAAUUGCGACCGGCGCGAAUCCUCGAAACUUUGAACGCAAAUCGUGCCCCGGCCUCGCGGCCGGGGCGCGUUCGUCCGAGCGUCGUGCACGACAGAUCCCCGCCCCAGGGCGGGAGACGGCGGACCCCGCGCCCCCCGGGCGCGCCGUUCCAGACGCCGACGGCCGAACGACGGAGGGGGCGCCCCGGGCUCCCGGACCAUCGCUACCGAGGGCCAGUCCCGGAGGAGCGAAGGCCGGGCACCCCCCGAGGCGCCCUCCCCCCGUCCGAGUCCGUCCCCCGACCCCAACUCUCGACCUCGGAUCGAGCGCGAUCACCCGCCGAAUUUAA
Molecule: unclassified non-coding RNA, 348 nt
Filed under: uncultured fungus
Lineage: Eukaryota; Fungi
Description: sequence contains ITS1
Rfam family: 5.8S ribosomal RNA (bases 1-104)
Source: RNAcentral